GGAAGUAAAAGUCGAACAAGGUUUCCGUAGGUGAACCUGCGGAAGGAUCAUUAAAGUUAUAGUCCCCCGGCCCUCUGGGCUGGGGUCUUCUAUACCACCCUUUGUUUAUUACACCUUUGUUGCUUUGGCAGGCCUGCCCUCGGGCUGCUGGCUCCGGCCGGCUCGCGUCUGCCAGAGGACCUAAACUCUGUUUGUAUAUGAAGUCUGAGUACUAUAUAAUAGUUAAAACUUUCAACAACGGAUCUCUUGGUUCUG
RNAcentral lists this unclassified non-coding RNA (255 nucleotides) under plant metagenome. RNAcentral's name for it is "partial contains small subunit ribosomal RNA, internal transcribed spacer 1, and 5.8S ribosomal RNA". The stretch from base 1 to 53 matches the Rfam family "Eukaryotic small subunit ribosomal RNA", at positions 1778 to 1831 of the family's 1831-position model. The record is from RNAcentral.